GAUGAACGCUGGCGGCGUGCCUAAUACAUGCAAGUCGAGCGAACAGACGAGGAGCUUGCUCCUCUCACGUUAGCCGCACACGGGUGAGUAACACGUGUAUAAUCUACCUAUCUUUCUGGUAUAACUUCGGGAAACCGGAUCAAAUCCCGGAUGAUAUAUUGAACCGCAUGGUGCAAUAGUGAAAGUCGGUUUUGCUGUCACUUAUAGAUGGUUCCGGGCUGCAUUAGCUAGUUGGGAAGUUAAUAGCUUACCACGGCAACCAGGCGUAGCCGACGGGAGAGACUGGUCGCCGGCCCGAGAACUGGGACACGGUCAAGACUCCUGCGGGACGGAGCAGUAGGGAAUCGUCCGCAAUAGGCGAGAGCCUGACGGAGCAAGGCGAAGUGAGAGAUGAAGGUCUUGGGAUCGUGAAGCUCUCUUAUUAGGGAUGAACAGAUGUGUACGUAACUAUGCACGUCUUGACGGUACCUGGUCAGAAAGCACCGGCUAACUACGUG
This 497-nucleotide ribosomal RNA is filed under the name uncultured bacterium. RNAcentral describes it as "partial 16S ribosomal RNA". It matches the Rfam family "Bacterial small subunit ribosomal RNA", at positions 28 to 507 of the family's 1533-position model. The record is from RNAcentral.